RNAcentral lists this ribosomal RNA (1008 nucleotides) under Salmonella enterica subsp. enterica serovar Stanley. RNAcentral's name for it is "partial 23S ribosomal RNA". It matches the Rfam family "Bacterial large subunit ribosomal RNA", at positions 1196 to 2188 of the family's 2925-position model. The record is from RNAcentral. Lineage: Bacteria; Pseudomonadati; Pseudomonadota; Gammaproteobacteria; Enterobacterales; Enterobacteriaceae.
GUCGAGUUGGCUUAGGGAUACGUUCGUUGGGUAGGGGAGCGUUCUGUAAGCCGUUGAAGGUGGCCUGUGAGGGUUGCUGGAGGUAUCAGAAGUGCGAAUGCUGACAUAAGUAACGAUAAAGCGGGUGAAAAGCCCGCUCGCCGGAAGACCAAGGGUUCCUGUCCAACGUUAAUCGGGGCAGGGUGAGUCGACCCCUAAGGCGAGGCCGAAAGGCGUAGUCGAUGGGAAACGGGUUAAUAUUCCCGUACUUGGUGUUACUGCGAAGGGGGGACGGAGAAGGCUAUGUUGGCCGGGCGACGGUUGUCCCGGUUUAAGCGUGUAGGUGUGUGUUCCAGGUAAAUCCGGUUCACUUUAACACUGAGGCGUGACGACGAGGCACUACGGUGCUGAAGCAACAAAUGCCCUGCUUCCAGGAAAAGCCUCUAAGCAUCAGGUAACAUCAAAUCGUACCCCAAACCGACACAGGUGGUCAGGUAGAGAAUACCAAGGCGCUUGAGAGAACUCGGGUGAAGGAACUAGGCAAAAUGGUGCCGUAACUUCGGGAGAAGGCACGCUGACACGUAGGUGAAGUGAUUUACUCAUGGAGCUGAAGUCAGUCGAAGAUACCAGCUGGCUGCAACUGUUUAUUAAAAACACAGCACUGUGCAAACACGAAAGUGGACGUAUACGGUGUGACGCCUGCCCGGUGCCGGAAGGUUAAUUGAUGGGGUCAGCGCAAGCGAAGCUCCUGAUCGAAGCCCCGGUAAACGGCGGCCGUAACUAUAACGGUCCUAAGGUAGCGAAAUUCCUUGUCGGGUAAGUUCCGACCUGCACGAAUGGCGUAAUGAUGGCCAGGCUGUCUCCACCCGAGACUCAGUGAAAUUGAACUCGCUGUGAAGAUGCAGUGUACCCGCGGCAAGACGGAAAGACCCCGUGAACCUUUACUAUAGCUUGACACUGAACAUUGAGCCUUGAUGUGUAGGAUAGGUGGGAGGCUUUGAAGCGUGGACGCCAGUCUGCGUGGAGCCG